CCAGAGUAGGUCACAACUGGACCUAAUGGUCAGGGGUCCCUUUACCCUUUACCUAGGACCUGAAGCAGGGCAUUAGAGGGGUGGGACAGGGAAAAGUUGAUCAUGGAUCCACUGAAUCCUGAGGCAAUCUAUUUGUGAAAUUCAUAUAUUGCCACAUGUAUUCUGAACCAGUCGUCUCUCUUCCCUUGUUUGUAGGUUGAUUUGGUUCUGUUCCUUUCUGGGAUGCACACAUUCCAUUUGAAUGUGCGAACCAAUUCUCUUGUAUCUGAGAUUUGUUUAAGUUGAAAGCAAGUGAGAUUAAAGAUCUGUUUGUGCCAUUUGCUCUGUGAUGGUUUGCUUAUUCAUUCGUACAAGGCACCACUUGAUGUUACAGUGAUGAACUUGCAUGUGUGAUCAAGACCAGAUAUUUUUAAAAGAAAGAAAUAUGCUCUGUUCCUGAUCUGGGAGAAGGGGAAGCCUUUGGCAUUGUUUUCAGUUAAGGCUCUGAUUUGAUUUUGAAAUUCAUAUUUCUAUGGAUUUUGGCUGGGUUUUUUUUUUCCAAACUGCUAACAUAAAUUUCUAUCCGAUUUUUAUUUUUUGUAGACUAGCUUGUAGCAGUGGGCAGGAACCAAGGUGUGAAUGUAGAUGGGAAAGAAGUCAAUGUGUGAAAAAUUGAAAUGACAGAUAUGGUUGAACAAGCUUUAGACUGACUCUUUGUUCCUCCUGAUACAGCAAAGAAAUUGAAUAUCUGCUUGAUGUGGAGAUAGAGAAGCCUUUCUACAUACGAAAGAAGCAGCUGUGUUUUGCCAACUAUUUUUUUAUAUAAAAAACCCCACAACGAGUCUCUUUAAAGUCAGCAUUUCAGCAAGGUGGGGGCUAAUCAUGUUCUAGCCAGUGCAGCCUGAAUACAAAUGCGUAUUUUUAACAAUGUGCUGACCUGCCAUCCCAAGCUAUAAGUAAUCUCAUUUUCACAGCAAUCCUACCUGGGGCCAAUGUACUCUCUCUCUCUCUCUCCCCCCCCCCCAACCUUUUUAGAGUUGCCCCCAAAACUUCAUCCAUAGAUAAAUAAGAAGCAAAUUUGUGGCUUCCAUUUCAGGUGAACCGCCUGAAGAGCUUCAAGGCAACACUUGUUUGAAUCUGCAGCUAGCUAGGUUGCUACAGGAUUUUGCUUCAAGUGGAAUUCAAGGAGAAGGUGUUAAGUUCCUCCUCAGACAAAACCUCUGAGGAAUUUCAAGUGAAGCCAAAGGCCUUUUGAUAUGACGAGCAGAUUUCCCCCCCAUGAACGGGUAGGUUGUAAGGCCAGUUAGUGAGGUAUUGUUUCUCUCUAGACAUCAUCUGUUAUUACAUUUGGGGACUGGAACUGACUUUAUAUUUGUACUUUAGGGUCCAUUUGGUGCAAUAUAAGUGGAGCCAUACUUUCUAAUUGUAAUAAUGGGUUUCAUUGCUAUACCAUCGCUUUUUAGCCUCCCGAAUGGAAGCUUUGAGGCCCCUGCUUGAAUACCCUUGCAGUCUAUAGGUUGGAUAUGGGAGGACUUUUGGAGCCAUGUAGAUCAACAGCAUGGUUCUAACCCUGUCAGAAGUAAGUGCCACAGCUCAGUUGUAGAGCACCUGCAGAAGGUCACAGGUUCCAUCUCUGGCAUCUCCAGACAAGGCUGGGAGGAAGGCUCUUGCACAAAACCCCGGAGAGCUGCUGCCAGGCAGCAUGGACAACACUGAGCCAGAUGGGCCAAUGGUCUGACUCAGCAGAAGGCAGCUUCCUACAACCCUAUUGAACUAAAUGAGAUUUCUCACAGCUGAGUGAGUUCAGUGAGCACUGUGUGAGCAUAUGUGUGUAGGGUUGCACUGUAAAGAAAGCUGAAGGGACAGUAUUCAUUGCAUAUAAGGAAGGUGUCACCAGAACAUAGACACUGUGCAUCAAACAGGAGAUUUAAGCAUUUGCUCUACCACUGAGCUGCGUGGAUUUGGGAUGCAUAUUUUGAAGUUGUGCAUAAGAUACUGAAAGUGGUCCUCUUCUAGAAUUUAGUUUUAAAAGAUCUGGAGAAACUGAAAGGAGAAACACAGUGUGCCACAAUCAACUGUGUGUGUGUGUGCAAAAAACCUGGAUGCACAGUUCCAAAAUAUAAGAUAAAAUAAAAUAAAACAAAACCUACAUACAGCAACAGUGUUUUGUGUUGUGUAGGCUCCUUUAAUGUAAGUAAUGGGCCCCGCCUGCUAGCCUGCUCCCUAAAAUAUCACUGGUUAGCUCAUUUCUAUAUAUAAGGUGUCUACAGUCUGCAUAUGCUUUAGAUACCUAUUACAGUGGUACCUCGGGUUACAUACACUUCAGGUUACGGACUCCGCUAACCCAGAAAUAGUACCUCGGAUUAAGAACUUUGCUUCAGGAUGAGAACAGAAAUCGUGUUCCAGUGGCGUGGCGGCAACAGCAGGAGGCCCCAUUAGCUAAAGUGGUGCUUAAGGUUAAGAACAGUUUCAGGUUAAGAACGGACCUCUGGAAUGAAUUAAGUACUUAACCCGAGGUACCACUGUAGGUCCAUGAAUUACCAUGUCACAUAUAUUCAACACAAAAAACAGUGACAAUUUGUUGUUGGCAAAGGACAGCUGGACAUAUAAAGGGCCCCAUUACCAUCAGUAGCUUAGGGCCUCAUCAAACCUAAAUCCGGCCCUGUGUGUGUAUACACACACACAGUAUGCACACAAAUACACAUAAGUCUCAGAACUGGAAAUGGUUGCUCCAGUCUUCUACAUGCAAUCCCUGGGCAAUCACAACAAAUUUCACAGAUGUACAUUUAAUGCUGGCUGUGUGAGUGAUUCACUGAGAGCAUUUUUCCCAAUUCUUUCACCAGCUAAUGAGGAGAGGAGAAGAUUCACCGUCAGAGGGUUGUUGUGUGUUUUUUAACUAAUCUAAUAGCAAACUGUAAAGGGAAGGUUCAGUAGUUUCCAAUCCAGCCACCCAAUCGCAGCGUCCCUGAUAAAAGUGAUAAAUAGUUAUAAAAUCCAACAUGGCAUCAAACUGCAAAGCUGAACAUUAAUCUAUGUCAGUAAAUUGUCAUUCAGUAAUGUCACUCAGGGAAUUAGAUUAUACAUAUUUGUGCAGAGGUAUGUAUAAGGUAUAUAUUUACAGCUCUAAGCUCAUCAAAUGCUAUUCGGGAAAAAGCAACAUAAAACCACUGGCUUAAGGAAGAUUGUGAGGAAGGGGAUUUCUUCAGCUGAUUGAAGAAAAUCUGAGUUUGUGCAUUCAGAUCUGUGCAUUCUUUAUAAAAUUCCAGGGACACCUGCUGCUUUCAUCUGCUGCCUCUGCUUCUUCCAUUCCCCCCUUCCUUUUUGUUCCUAAAGAAAGUGCAAUUUGCUUUAAACAUACAUAAUACUAAAUGGAGGAGGUUCUUAGCAUUUAGGCAUGAAAGUAACUUUCCUUGGAUCAGCAAGACUUGAUGGAAGUGUUAGAUUUCAGUUACAAAUAAAACAAAACAUAUUUUCCCCAUAGCAGAUGAAUUGAAGUUGGGCUAUUACAAUCUUUUAUCAGUGGCAAAAGGGAAUGAUUACCUAUGCUGUCCAGAAGAGUAUUUUACUGCAAUGCAAAAGUUAUUAUAGAGUAGAAUUUGGCAAUUUAUGUUUAUAUGUCAUACUCCAAGUUUGUUGGCAUAUGCAUGUGUGCAUGCACAUUUGAUUGUGCUUGUAUCUAUGGCACACACAAACAUAUAUGCUCGUUUAUUUCUUUCUAACUGAAUUGCUUCUUAGUAUUUGGGAAAGAAGCUGAUUCCCAUCAGCCAUAAAGGACACACUCUGGUGAUUUUGGCACUCUCCUCUUGGAUAAUGGAAGAACAACAGUCUCCAUUAUAUUGACUUCCUCAGCUGCAGUUGCUGUUGAUCAGAGGCAGCAGAGGAGCUAGCUGUCAUACUGUUAUGGCACCUGCAGUACUGAUUUUCUGUCCAUCAAAACCCUGAUACACGUGGCUUUUUUAAGAAAAGGAAAAAGGGAGCUCUAAUCUGAAAAUACCAACUACAAAAUAGAAAAAAUAAUUCAAAAUCAUCUUGUAGCUCUUACAGUGGAGAAGUCAGUAUUUUCCCAGAUUGACUAGAGACCUGAAGUCCUUAGUGUGUUGCUAUACACUGCAACAUUUUGCCUUUCUGAAAGUCUUUCCUCAACAUUCUGUUACACAGUCACACUACCAAAGCAACAGAACAUAGGAGGGAGCUUUUCAGGUGAAUGGGGGCAUUGUUAUGCAGAUAAGAGUAUACUACUUCCUCAAUGGCAGCAGUCACUGGGGCAAGGGUUAGGCUUAGUUCCAGCCAUAUCAUAUCCUUGAGUUACUCACCUUUGCCUUUUCCCAUACAAAUUAAGAGAAAGCUACUCACCAGUGUUAGAAAUUGAGCUAUGAAAGCUAUGAGCUAAAUGGCACCUUAAACCUCGGUUAUGGGUGCAACAACAAAAUGUCUAGGAGCACUUUUUAAUAACAUGAAUGCAAAGCUGGAAAUGAAUGAACUGCAGCUAAAAUAUUAUGUUCCUUUUUCACAUGGUCUAGUCCUUCCCCUGCUCACCACCUUAAUAUUCUUAAGAGGGUCUCUUCUCCAGUCUUUAGAGAGUAGCUGGAAGUGGGAAGGCAGAAAAAGGUCCUCCUUUUCUUCCACUGCACAGUUUUAAUCUGAAAUCUUAGGCACAGUACUGCACCCAGUGCUCAGAAACUGCUUGCGCUAAUGAAAUUCCCUGUUGCAAAAUGCGCCUAGAACAAUGGGAGUUUAGAACACCGCUACUCACUACAAUGGAGGAAAAGAAAUUGCUACUCUUAGGGGUACCAUUGCAGAGAAGGCAGGAAUACCCACUUGAAUAAAAUAUUGGGGGAGCCCAGGUAAGUCCCACCUGCAUAAUAAAUCACAUGAUGUGACACACAAAAACUAUUUCAAUGGCAAUGCUCCUAUGAGAGAGGGCAGCUCCUAAUCUCCACCUUCACUGCUAAGUGACCAAGCCCUGCCUAAUGAAGAUCCUUGAAUAACUGUAAUUAAUCUCUAUAGGCAGAGAAGAAUUUCUCCAAUGGGUACCCUACAUGUCAAUUUAAAAUAUCUGAUUAAAAUAUAAAUGCCUAUGGGCUUACAUGUCUAGCUGUGGUGGACUGCUGACAGCUGUUCAGAAAAGCAAGAAUGAGGAGGCAUAAAAAUGAAUUUCUAAAGUUCUUUCUUACAUCAAUUUAACAGUGCUGGCCAAACCAAAAAAUUAUUGCGAAGAUUUUCAUGUGGUGAUUUAUUCUCUUCUUCUCAAAUAAUUGCCUUAUUUUAAAAAAUGUUUGAUGUUUUAUCGUGUUUUUAAUAUUCUGUUGGGAGCCACCCAGAGUGGCUAGGUCAACCCAGUCAAAUGAGUGGCAUCAUCAUCAUUUUAGUAGUAGUAGUAUUAGUAGUAGUAUUGAUACAAAACUUUUUGCAGGCCAGGAGUUAUUCGUUUUUAAAGCUAGAAUGCUAUUUUAAUUAAUAUGUUGCAUUGCAAAUUGCUCUAGCAUUGCUCUAAGAUAGGGUUGGGGAACCUAUGAUGCUUCAGAGGCCAUUGUACUCCAACUCCCAACAGCCCCAACUAACAUAGCUAAUGCUAAAGGAUGAUGGGACUACUUCCAACUACUUCUAGAGGGCCGCAAGUUCUCCAUACCCGCACUUAAGGAAAGGAAGACUGUAACUGUGUGUACAUCAUACCUUUAAAGCACAACCCUUCCCCCAAACCAUCCUGGGAACUGUAGUUUGGUAAGGGUGCUGGAGUGAACUUCAGUUCCCAAGAUUCUUGAGGGCAGGUGCUUUAAACGUAUAGUGUGUAUACAGCCUAACAGUUCUUCAGUCAGAUCCUCAAGGUGAAAGGCUCUGGAAAGUCUCCUCUAGGCUCCAGUGUUAGUUACAUUUCUGCUGCAGAUGGCUUACUCUGGGACUUGGGAGCAGGCCAGCCACAGUCUUGAUUUGUACAGAAAGGAUAAUUUUUGUGCUUCAUCAUCUAUGGGUUUUCAUAUAUCUGCCAAAUCCUCUGCCCUCCCACAUACUGUUGUGACCUAGUACAGUUAAAUUAUUGUCAUCUUACCCUCUUCAGGAUGUAUCUCAAAGAGUACUUCACAUCCCACACGAGCCUCCCUUUCUAAACGAAAACACCACACCGACGGGUCAUAUUUAAAACACAACAUCUCAGACUUAGGCACCUCUCUGUCUCAAACAUUGCCAGGGAUGAAGGCGCUGCUAGGAGGCUGACCCAGUUCUGCCAAUUAGUGCCUUGAAGAAAAAUUUCUCUUCCAUUCUUUUCGGUCCCUAAUGUUAUGCAUCUGGAUACAUUGCCAAGUUUAAAAGAGGUGAGCUAGAUGUGCUUAAAGUAUUAAUCAGACAUCCACUCCAGUGUGUUAUGAUAAAAAUAGUUCCCACAGAGGAAAAAGGGACAUAGUACUAAUUACCACAUUACAAAUUACUAUAUCUGACUCAAUUCACACAUAAAAGCUGUGUAAGUUAGGCUAUGCCUACACUUUGUUGAUUGAUUGAUAUCCGAUGAAAGUCCCCCUGAUUCAGGCACCUGCCUGAACACUGAAGACCUUAAAAUGCAGGGCGGGGGGGGGGGGCAGACAAAAGUUGAGUUUGUCAAAGCAUCAAUGACACAUUGGGCAAUAGAUAAAGGACAUAAUAUAGAUUUCAAUCUCUGGGAAAAACUUUGGAAGAGUGAUCUGAUGUUUACAGCAUGUUAUCCCUUGAAGGAGAACUACCUGAAAAUGAUUCACAGAUGGUAUUUAACUCCAAGAAGGCUUUCUAAAAUGUAUAAGCAGUGCCGGAUUUACAUAUAAGCUAAACAAGCUAUAGCUUAGGGCCCCCCAAAAAAUUUAAAGAAAAAAACCUGGAUGUACAUUUCC
Molecule: non-coding RNA, 6833 nt
Organism: Podarcis lilfordi (Lilford's wall lizard)
Lineage: Eukaryota; Metazoa; Chordata; Lepidosauria; Squamata; Lacertidae
Source: the annotation of a GenBank genome assembly